RNAcentral lists this ribosomal RNA (253 nucleotides) under uncultured bacterium. Its description in RNAcentral is "partial 16S ribosomal RNA". It matches the Rfam family "Bacterial small subunit ribosomal RNA", at positions 524 to 776 of the family's 1533-position model. The record is from RNAcentral.
UACGUAGGUGGCGAGCGUUGUCCGGAUUUAUUGGGCGUAAAGCGCCCGCAGGCGGCUUGAUAAGUUUCAGGUGAAAUCUCCCGGCUUAACUGGGAGGGGUCCUGGAAAACUGUCAGGCUUGAGGCAGAGAGAGGGAUGUGGAAUUCCCGGUGUAGUAGUGAAAUGCAUAGAUAUCGGGAGGAACACCAGUGGCGAAGGCGGCAUCCUGGCUCUGUCCUGACGCUCAGGGGCGAAAGCGUGGGGAGCAAACCGG